This 558-nucleotide ribosomal RNA is filed under the name Hypocreales sp. BR3-1-2. RNAcentral describes it as "SSU rRNA". It matches the Rfam family "Eukaryotic small subunit ribosomal RNA", at positions 139 to 700 of the family's 1831-position model. Lineage: Eukaryota; Fungi; Ascomycota; Sordariomycetes; Hypocreales. The record is from RNAcentral.
UUGCAUGCCUGGGGUAAUCCUUGAGACAAGCAUAUGACUACAUCCCGACUUCGGAAGGGAUGUAUUUAUNNNAUUAAAAACCAAUGCCCCUCGGGGCUCUCUGGUGAAUCAUGAUAACUAGUCGAAUCGACAGGCCUUGUGCCGGCGAUGGCUCAUUCAAAUUUCUUCCCUAUCAACUUUCGAUGUUUGGGUAUUGGCCAAACAUGGUGGCAACGGGUAACGGAGGGUUAGGGCUCGACCCCGGAGAAGGAGCCUGAGAAACGGCUACUACAUCCAAGGAAGGCAGCAGGCGCGCAAAUUACCCAAUCCCGACACGGGGAGGUAGUGACAAUAAAUACUGAUACAGGGCUCUUUUGGGUCUUGUAAUCGGAAUGAGUACAAUUUAAAUCCCUUAACGAGGAACAAUUGGAGGGCAAGUCUGGUGCCAGCAGCCGCGGUAAUUCCAGCUCCAAUAGCGUAUAUUAAAGUUGUUGUGGUUAAAAAGCUCGUAGUUGAACCUUGGGCCUGGCUGGCCGGUCCGCCUCACCGCGUGCACUGGUCCGGCCGGGCCUUUCCCUC